Molecule: transfer RNA, 77 nt
Filed under: Zafaria cholistanensis
Lineage: Bacteria; Bacillati; Actinomycetota; Actinomycetes; Micrococcales; Micrococcaceae
Description: tRNA-Thr
Rfam family: tRNA
About the family: Transfer RNA (tRNA) molecules are approximately 80 nucleotides in length. Their secondary structure includes four short double-helical elements and three loops (D, anti-codon, and T loops).
Source: RNAcentral
GCCCCUUUAGCUCAGUUGGCCAGAGCACCUGUCUUGUAAACAGGGGGUCGCCGGUUCGAAUCCGGCAAGGGGCUCCA